GUGAGUAACGCGUGGGAACGUACCUUUUGGUUCGGAACAACACAGGGAAACUUGUGCUAAUACCGGAUAAGCCCUUACGGGGAAAGAUUUAUCGCCGAAAGAUCGGCCCGCGUCUGAUUAGCUAGUUGGUGAGGUAAUGGCUCACCAAGGCGACGAUCAGUAGCUGGUCUGAGAGGAUGAUCAGCCACAUUGGGACUGAGACACGGCCCAAACUCCUACGGGAGGCAGCAGUGGGGAAUAUUGGACAAUGGGCGCAAGCCUGAUCCAGCCAUGCCGCGUGAGUGAUGAAGGCCCUAGGGUUGUAAAGCUCUUUUGUGCGGGAAGAUAAUGACGGUACCGCAAGAAUAAGCCCCGGCUAACUUCGUGCCAGCAGCCGCGGUAAUACGAAGGGGGCUAGCGUUGCUCGGAAUCACUGGGCGUAAAGGGUGCGUAGGCGGGUCUUUAAGUCAGGGGUGAAAUCCUGGAGCUCAACUCCAGAACUGCCUUUGAUACUGAAGAUCUUGAGUU
Molecule: ribosomal RNA, 507 nt
Filed under: Bradyrhizobium elkanii
Lineage: Bacteria; Pseudomonadati; Pseudomonadota; Alphaproteobacteria; Hyphomicrobiales; Nitrobacteraceae
Description: bacterial SSU rRNA
Rfam family: Bacterial small subunit ribosomal RNA
Source: RNAcentral